UACGUAGGGUGCGAGCGUUGUCCGGAAUUACUGGGUGUAAAGGGUGCGUAGGCGGGCAUGUGCGUCGGAGGUUAAAUACAACGGCUUAACCGUUGAACUGCCUUCGAAACGGCAUGUCUUGAAUGUGGGAGAGGAUGAUGGAAUUCCUGGUGUAGCGGUGAAAUGCGUAGAUAUCAGGAGGAACACCGGUGGCGAAGGCGGUCAUCUGGCCCACUAUUGACGCUGAGGCACGAAAGCGUGGGGAG
Molecule: ribosomal RNA, 245 nt
Filed under: uncultured bacterium
Lineage: Bacteria
Description: partial 16S ribosomal RNA
Rfam family: Bacterial small subunit ribosomal RNA
Source: RNAcentral